This 1159-nucleotide long non-coding RNA is filed under the name Sinocyclocheilus grahami. RNAcentral describes it as "lncRNA (ENSSGRG00000003433.1)". The record is from RNAcentral. Lineage: Eukaryota; Metazoa; Chordata; Actinopteri; Cypriniformes; Cyprinidae.
GAGACAGCUGACAGUGUGCUUCUGCUUGCAUAUACUAAACUACAACCUGAACUGGCUGGAAUACGCUAGGGAAGAAGCUUCAAAUAAAAUCCAAUGUCCAGUGGACCACCAUAGAUUUCACUACAGAGAUGCCAAUUGCAGAAUUGCUUGGAGUGCAUUUUGACAUGCAGCUCCUUGGCAAACUGACUCUAUCUGUGGCCACCAUUCUAUUUGUCGCCUUGGUUUUCAGAUUCUACAACUCCAGGGCACGAAACAGACGGCGAGGACGUGAAAGAAGGGGUGUGCAAGCAACCCAAACAAGCUACAGCGCUUACAAUACUGUGCAAGAACCACAGAGUGAAGCUGCAAAGGAGGAGUCUGACAGGGAAAAUCGUUUUCAUCAAUCUUCAGAGAAACCCUUGCAAGAAAGCCUUAAAAAUGAAAAUUCUGCCUUGAAAAGGGGUCAGCCUGAAACUAUGGACUUUUAUGCAAAGGAGGAACCUGCAAGUAAAAGCGACGCAAUUGAGGAUACAACUGAGGCGAAGAGUGGCAAACCAAAGUUGACCUUACAACUUCCGGGUGUGACCGAAAAAGGUCCAGGAAGUCCAAGUGGUCGCCGAUCCCCAGUCCUAAUGAAGAAGCUGGAAGGUGGCACGGGUGUUGGCAGGCAGCUGAUACAAGACGUCGGUCACCAGGGCAUGUUCUCAAGUUUUCAGUCAAAGGCAGAAAUCAAAGUUGAGAAUGCUGACCUUAUCUUGGAUGGGCCAGGGAAUUGUAGAACGGGCGUCCAUGGAAAAAUAUAUGAGUACUACGUAGAGUCCUCUUCUCAUUUCAUCUCAGAUUUAAGCCCCACCCCGUCCGUCAGUCCAGUUUAUGGUCAAAACGAAAACAGCACUUUGUUUAAAUCGCAAUCAUUGGAUUUACCCAGUUUUAAGGACCGCUCCCGAUCGCCAAGUCCACAGCCUUCUAGUUUCAUAAUGCGAGAUCUCGAAAUUGCUCCACGAAUUGCUAACGAGCCUCCCUCAACAUUCAAGCCGACUGUGAGGUACAGCAGGCAAGUAGUCAUCCGUCAGGACAGCUAUCUUACUGCUGCCAGUGACUCAGAGCUUCCAAUCCCCUUGCCUACACAUAGGGCUAUAACACCUCGCAGCUGUUCUCCAGCACAACCCAAUGACAUCCC